Molecule: ribosomal RNA, 460 nt
Filed under: uncultured bacterium
Lineage: Bacteria
Description: partial 16S ribosomal RNA
Rfam family: Bacterial small subunit ribosomal RNA
Source: RNAcentral
CCUACGGGAGGCAGCAGUGAGGAAUAUUGGUCAAUGGACGCAAGUCUGAACCAGCCAUGCCGCGUGCAGGAAGACGGCUCUAUGAGUUGUAAACUGCUUUUGUACGAGGGUAAACGCAGAUACGCGUAUCUGUCUGAAAGUAUCGUACGAAUAAGGAUCGGCUAACUCCGUGCCAGCAGCCGCGGUAAUACGGAGGAUUCAAGCGUUAUCCGGAUUUAGUGGGUUUAAAGGGUGCGUAGGCGGUCGGAUAAGUUAGAGGUGAAAUCCCGAGGCUCAACUUCGGAAUUGCCUCUGAGACUGUUCGGCUAGAGAGUAGUUGCGGUAGGCGGAAUGUAUGGUGUAGCGGUGAAAUGCUUAGAGAUCAUACAGAACACCGAUUGCGAAGGCAGCUUACCAAGCUACUUCUGACGUUGAGGCACGAAAGCGUGGGGAGCAAACAGGAUUAGAUACCCCAGUAGUC